RNAcentral lists this long non-coding RNA (627 nucleotides) under Ananas comosus (pineapple). RNAcentral's name for it is "long non-coding RNA (ACOM_LNC030477)". The record is from RNAcentral. Lineage: Eukaryota; Viridiplantae; Streptophyta; Magnoliopsida; Poales; Bromeliaceae.
CCAUUUUCUUGACAAGUUCGGGUGGAUUUGGAGUGGGUUGAUUUUUAUCUUAUUUUUUGCUCUCACUUUAAAUCUAUACAGGACGAGUCUAGAAUGAGCAAAAUUUUGAUGAAUUUUUGAUAGUUCGUAAGUAUCAAUUAAUAGGAAGGAGUCUCCCACCUCCUACUGUAUCUUCUUAACGGAUAAGAGUGGAUUUCGAAUAAUCAACUAUUUUUUGACUAAAUUAUAAAAAAAUUUCUAUAAAUAUCCGCUUUUUUUUUUUACUUUCCCUCAAAAAAUUUAUAUUUUGCCCCCUUAUAAUUUCAAAAAUAUUUUCAGGAGGACGCAGCGUUAAUGGAAAGGGCAAAAUGAUUAAAUUAUUCUUACUUCUUCCAUAAGAAAAAAAUAAAUUUUAAUAUAUUUUUGUUACUUUAAAGGAUAUUUUUGAUAUAAAUUAUAAGAAAUGGACGGAAUAGUGAUGGAAUCUUGACGGAAGGAAAUUAAAUGUAACAACUUGAAAUAUUGAGAGAUAAAAAAUAUAAAAUUUUAAAAGUUACUAAGUUAGGAAGAAAAAGUAAAAAAUAAGUAUUUAUAUAAAAGUUUUUUAUAAUUUAGCCCUAUUUUUUCUCUAAUUUUAGUCCUUACUUA